GUCACUGUAGCACUAUGGAUAGCGUGUUGGACUUCUAAUCCAAAGUUCGUGGGGUCAAAUCCCACCUGGGAUGACC
RNAcentral lists this transfer RNA (76 nucleotides) under Trichonephila inaurata madagascariensis. RNAcentral's name for it is "tRNA-Arg". It matches the Rfam family "tRNA". Rfam says of the family: Transfer RNA (tRNA) molecules are approximately 80 nucleotides in length. Their secondary structure includes four short double-helical elements and three loops (D, anti-codon, and T loops). Further hydrogen bonds mediate the characteristic L-shaped molecular structure. tRNAs have two regions of fundamental functional importance: the anti-codon, which is responsible for specific mRNA codon recognition, and the 3' end, to which the tRNAs corresponding amino acid is attached (by aminoacyl-tRNA synthetases). tRNAs cope with the degeneracy of the genetic code in two manners: having more than one tRNA (with a specific anti-codon) for a particular amino acid; and 'wobble' base-pairing, i.e. permitting non-standard base-pairing at the 3rd anti-codon position. The record is from RNAcentral. Lineage: Eukaryota; Metazoa; Arthropoda; Arachnida; Araneae; Nephilidae.